RNAcentral lists this ribosomal RNA (37 nucleotides) under Nicrophorus marginatus. RNAcentral's name for it is "partial 5.8S ribosomal RNA". Lineage: Eukaryota; Metazoa; Arthropoda; Insecta; Coleoptera; Silphidae. The record is from RNAcentral.
UAGAUCAGGGCUCUACACCGUGGAUCACUCGGCUCGU